Molecule: ribosomal RNA, 406 nt
Filed under: uncultured bacterium
Lineage: Bacteria
Description: partial 16S ribosomal RNA
Rfam family: Bacterial small subunit ribosomal RNA
Source: RNAcentral
AUUGAACGCUGGCGGCAGGCCUAACACAUGCAAGUCGAGCGAGCGGCGGACGGGUGAGUAAUGUCUGGGAAACUGCCUGAUGGAGGGGGAUAACUACUGGAAACGGUAGCUAAUACCGCAUACCAUCCGGUGUGCCCAGAUGGGGUUAGCUAGUGGGGGGGGUAACGGCUCACAUAGGCGACGAUCCCUAGCUGGUCUGAGAGGAUGACCAGCCACACGGGAACUGAGAAACGGUCCAGACUCCUACGGGAGGCAGCAGUGGGGAAUAUUGCACAAUGGGGGCAAUCCUGAUGCAGCCAUGCCGCGGGUGUGAAGAAGGCCUGCGGGUUGUAAAGCACUUUCAGCGGGGAGGCGUUACCCGCAGAAGAAGCACCGGCUAACUCCGUGCCAGCAGCCGCGGUAAUUC